GCCGGGUGUGGUGGUGCAUGCCUGUAGUCCCAGCUACUCGGGAGGCUGAGGCAGGAGAAUCGCUUGAACCCAGGAGGUGGAGGUUGCAGUGAGCUGAGAUUGCGCCGCUGUGCUCUAGCCUGGGUGACAGAGUGAGACUCUGUCUCAA
This 148-nucleotide non-coding RNA is filed under the name Gorilla gorilla gorilla (western lowland gorilla). The record is from Rfam by way of RNAcentral. Lineage: Eukaryota; Metazoa; Chordata; Mammalia; Primates; Hominidae.